RNAcentral lists this ribosomal RNA (511 nucleotides) under uncultured bacterium. Its description in RNAcentral is "bacterial SSU rRNA". It matches the Rfam family "Bacterial small subunit ribosomal RNA", at positions 29 to 518 of the family's 1533-position model. The record is from RNAcentral.
AACGAACGCUGGCGGCGUGCUUAACACAUGCAAGUCGAACGCGAAAGGGACCUCGGUCCUGAGUAAAGUAGGCGCACGGGUGAGUAACGCGUAGAUAACCUGUCUUCAUGUCUGGAAUAAUACGCCGAAAGGGGUACUAAUACCGGAUAUUCUUGCUUUUCAUAAGUUAUGCAAGCAAAGGUGGCCUCUGCAUAUGCUACUGCAUGAAGAGGGGUCUGCGUACCAUUAGCUAGUAGGUGGGGUAAUGGCCUACCUAGGCGACGAUGGUUAGCGGGUCUGAGAGGAUGAUCCGCCACACUGGCACUGGAACACGGGCCAGACUCCUACGGGAGGCAGCAGUGAGGAAUAUUGCGCAAUGGGGGAAACCCUGACGCAGCGACGCCGCGUGAGUGAGGAAGGCCUUCGGGUCGUAAAGCUCUGUCAAGAGGAAAGAAGUGUACAAUGGCUAAUACCUGUUGUAUUUGACGGUACCUCUAAAGGAAGCACCGGCUAACUCCGUGCCAGCCGCCGC